UCCCUGUUGGCUCAGAUGAUAAAGAGUCUGCCUGCAAUGCAGGCGACCCAGGUUCAAUCCCUGGGUUGGGAA
RNAcentral lists this transfer RNA (72 nucleotides) under Bos taurus (domestic cattle). It matches the Rfam family "tRNA". Rfam says of the family: Transfer RNA (tRNA) molecules are approximately 80 nucleotides in length. Their secondary structure includes four short double-helical elements and three loops (D, anti-codon, and T loops). RNAcentral also lists the same sequence under 4 other names. Lineage: Eukaryota; Metazoa; Chordata; Mammalia; Artiodactyla; Bovidae. The record is from Rfam by way of RNAcentral.